UUGUGAAAUGUUGGGUUAAGUCCCGCAACGAGCGCAACCCUUAUCCUUUGUUGCCAGCGAUUAGGUCGGGAACUCAAAGGAGACUGCCAGUGAUAAACUGGAGGAAGGUGGGGAUGACGUCAAGUCAUCAUGGCCCUUACGACCAGGGCUACACACGUGCUACAAUGGCGCAUACAAAGAGAAGCGACCUCGCGAGAGCAAGCGGACCUCAUAAAGUGCGUCGUAGUCCGGAUUGGAGUCUGCAACUCGACUCCAUGAAGUCGGAAUCGCUAGUAAUCGUGGAUCAGAAUGCCACGGUGAAUACGUUCCCGGGCCUUGUACACACCGCCCGUCACACCAUGGGAGUGGGUUGCAAAAGAAGUAGGUAGCUUAACCUUCGGGAGGGCGCUUACCACUUUGUGAUUCAUGACUGGGGUGAAGUCGUAACAAGGUAACCGUAGGGGAACCUGCGGUUGGA
This 457-nucleotide ribosomal RNA is filed under the name Salmonella enterica. RNAcentral's name for it is "bacterial SSU rRNA". It matches the Rfam family "Bacterial small subunit ribosomal RNA", at positions 1065 to 1522 of the family's 1533-position model. RNAcentral also lists the same sequence under 3 other names. The record is from RNAcentral. Lineage: Bacteria; Pseudomonadati; Pseudomonadota; Gammaproteobacteria; Enterobacterales; Enterobacteriaceae.